Molecule: ribosomal RNA, 303 nt
Filed under: Isochrysis galbana
Lineage: Eukaryota; Haptophyta; Isochrysidales; Isochrysidaceae
Description: partial Bacterial small subunit ribosomal RNA
Rfam family: Bacterial small subunit ribosomal RNA
Source: RNAcentral
ACGUAGAGUUUGAUCCUGGCUCAGGAUGAACGCUAGCGGCAGGCCUAAUACAUGCAAGUCGUACGAAGCCUUCGGGCUUAGUGGCGAACGGGUGCGUAACGCGUAAACAACCUGCCCUUCGGAGGGGGACAACAUCUGGAAACGGGUGCUAAUACCGCAUAACAUCACGAUGUCACAUGGCAUUGUGAUCAAAGGAGUAAUCCGCCGGAGGAGGGGUUUGCGUUAGAUUAGCUAGUUGGCGGGGUAACGGCCCACCAAGGCAACGAUCUAUAGCUGGUCUGAGAGGAUGAUCAGCCACACUGG